GCAUUGGUGGUUCAGUGGUAGAAUGCUCGCCUGCCACGCGGGAGACCCGGGUCCGAUUCCCGGCCAUUUCA
Molecule: transfer RNA, 71 nt
Filed under: Danio rerio (zebrafish)
Lineage: Eukaryota; Metazoa; Chordata; Actinopteri; Cypriniformes; Danionidae
Rfam family: tRNA
About the family: Transfer RNA (tRNA) molecules are approximately 80 nucleotides in length. Their secondary structure includes four short double-helical elements and three loops (D, anti-codon, and T loops).
Source: Rfam by way of RNAcentral